Molecule: long non-coding RNA, 2082 nt
Organism: Bos taurus (domestic cattle)
Lineage: Eukaryota; Metazoa; Chordata; Mammalia; Artiodactyla; Bovidae
Source: Ensembl
UGACAACCUUGUUGAAAAUCAUUUGACUAUAUACAGUAGGGUUUGUUUUGGGGCGCUCUCUUCUUUUCCAUUGCUAUAGCAAGGUUUGAAAUCCGUCUAGUCACCCCCUUUUUGUCCACCACUCUGCUAUCUUGAACUGAAAUCUGAUUCUGUUAAUCCCUUGCUAAAAAUGUAUUUAUGUAGCAUUAAAGGCUCUGCAGAGCUAGACUCAACCUAUUCUUAGUCUUUCUCCCUAUCAUAACCCCAUUCUCUCUUCCCUACAUUGUCUACUCAUCCCACAGAAUCACUCCAGAACAUAAUAUAUACCUACACAACAUCUGCUAAAUUCUAUCUGCACCUUCCUUUAUUCUCUUUCCCACCCUCCACCCACACAUGGCAGUUACUUUUUACUCCUAUAGAAUUUUGUUACUAUCAGAGUCAUUAUCGCAUCAUAUCAUAACAAAUUAGAUACGCAUACCUGCUCCUACCCAGUAAAAGCUGAGCUUCUUGAUGGCCUUUCAAAGAAUAAUUUCUUUGUGCUCGCCUUGCCCAGAGAUAUCACCCCUAUUGCAACUGCACAGAGAAAGUGGUGUUAACAUGUAUACAACAUAAGGCUAGAUAUUGCAUGUGCAUUUCAUUAAUCUUCAGAACAGUCCUGUGAGACAUGUGACAUAUGACGAAACCAAGGCUUAGAAAUGUUUGGUUACACAGCUAACUAGUUGUCAGAACUAGGAUUCCAAACUCAUAGUCAUCUGGCCAUGAGCCAUGCUGUGAUCACUAAGCUAUGAAGACACUAAAGAAAGAAAGGUGGUUAGUGAAAUACAAUAGGGUAUGCUGAUUAACCUACUUUCUUUUAGGCCUGAACAUGAUUUUAUCACAGCCUCCAAAGUUGAUCAGACAUAGAGUUGCCCAUGUAAGUAAAGCCUAAACCAGAAUAUCUCACUAAGUAAAGCAUAAGCCAGAAUAUCAACUAAAUGGGAGAAAUUCCUUUCUAUCAGUACUAACCGCAGUACCACAUCCAGGUUUCUAGUGCCAUGAUACCUAAGAAAAAGUCUGAAUUAUCUGACGUAUACUAGGUGAGCAUAUAGAGUCAACCCAAUGAGAAUGAGAUGUUUAGUUGGGAGUGUUUUAUCCAGGCUUGGCAAGGGCAGGAGAAUCAGCCUUUCUUCACAACACAGCAAACCACAGUGGAAUCUCCUGCUGAAAACUUCUGGGUUCGUUCCCAGACAAUAUAUACUAAACCGCAUAUUUUACCCCUCAAACUCCCCUUUUACCCUGUUUCAUCAUACUUAUCUCCGUUUUUUGUUCUGGAGAAACUGAAGUAUCUCAGCUUUUUAAAUUAUUACUUUUUCUAGUUCUGCCUAUUUCAAAUUAUUUCUAGCCAUCUGAUAAGAAUUCUACCUGUUUCAUGAGUCAUGUGUCUAACAUGCUCUUAUUAGAUGAACAGAUUAUGUAUGUUAAGCCCAUUAUGUAUGGACUUAACUGGCUCUCUUUUUCACUAUUUAAUUACCUGGCUGUGCUGGGUCUUACAGCAUGUGGGAUCUUGAGUUGUGGCAUAUAAACUCUUAGUUGUGGCAUAUGGGAUCUAGUUCCCCAAGCAGAGAUUGAACCCAGGUCUCCUGCAUUAGAAGGAGCAUGGAGUCUUAGCCAUGGACCACCAGGGAAAUCCCUUAAUUGGUUUUCUUACUCCUUCACUCAAAAUUCCAUUAACAGCUAGAAUUCAAAUCUUCAAUUACUAAGGGUAUUGCUGUUAUGGACUGGGUAUCUCCCACUCUCACCUGAAACGGUUCCUCAAGAGAUUGUGUCUUACACGUUUUUAAACACCCAGUAUCUAGUAUGAUGCCUGAUAUAUUAAAGUAACCAAUAAGACUUUGUCAGUAAAGCCUUCCCAUUAAGGAAGAUAUUCAAAGGAAUGAGCCACACUGUCUGAAAACAAUGCCAAAAUCCAGUUCUAAGUAUCUUUUAGGUAGCAGCUAUGCUAGAAAAAAUGUUUGAAUUUCCACACUGAUUCCUUUGAAAAGGAUAGCUCUUAUUGCCUGUAUAUGUUGGAUUAUAUUUCCUGAAAUAUGUAGUUAUAUUACUUUAUAAUUCUAUGUUGAAGCC